RNAcentral lists this long non-coding RNA (488 nucleotides) under Brassica napus (rape). RNAcentral's name for it is "long non-coding RNA (BNAP_LNC007177)". The record is from RNAcentral. Lineage: Eukaryota; Viridiplantae; Streptophyta; Magnoliopsida; Brassicales; Brassicaceae.
CAAAAAUAUGAUCCAAAUAAAUAGUUAGAUCUCUUGAAUAUGUAGAUGUGAAACCGGUUCCUCUGCUUGGUUCCGGUUAACAGAUUCGAUUCUUGAAUUCAAAAGUAGAGAAAACUAAUCUAAAAAGAAGGAGAAGGUGGUGGUGCAUUACCGUUGACUUCAGGCUUGCAAGACAUCCCUAAGCUGAGAUCUCCAAAGCUGCCGUUCUCUUUCAGAUACUGACUCAGUCGACUGCACGUCAGGGAGAAGCUCGGCUUCCUGGAGAAUCUCCGAGUAGCGGCGGAAUCAGAGCAAUCCAUAGAACUUGACAUCAUUUUAACAAAGUUUCGCUCGGCUUCCUGGAGAAUCUCCGAGUAGCGGCGGAAUCAGAGCACUCCAUAGAACUUGACAUCAUUUUAACAAAGUUUCAGUUUCUGUCUUCUUCUUCUUCUUCUUUCUUCUUGCAAAUUGAGAUUUGUCACGAGGGAGAAAUGUUGGGUUGGUUGCUG